This 82-nucleotide small nucleolar RNA is filed under the name Carlito syrichta (Philippine tarsier). Its description in RNAcentral is "Small nucleolar RNA SNORD115 (ENSTSYG00000024580.2)". It matches the Rfam family "Small nucleolar RNA SNORD115". Rfam says of the family: HBII-52 is a member of the C/D class of snoRNAs, which contain the C (UGAUGA) and D (CUGA) box motifs. The record is from Rfam by way of RNAcentral. Lineage: Eukaryota; Metazoa; Chordata; Mammalia; Primates; Tarsiidae.
AGGUAUAUGUGGAGGGCUUUUUAUUGCCUUGAGGGGCACUGAUGACUUAAAUAUCAUGUACAAUGACAUGACACUGAGACCU